This is a long non-coding RNA of Passer domesticus (house sparrow), 1873 nucleotides long. RefSeq lists it as uncharacterized. The record is from RefSeq and is a predicted model, not a curated record. The transcript has 3 exons. Lineage: Eukaryota; Metazoa; Chordata; Aves; Passeriformes; Passeridae.
GAUGGAAAAGACAGUGGCCAUGUUUCCACAAUGAGCAAAGUGAAAUUGUACCAGUUUUGUUUUCCCAGCAGGAGCCAUCUUCCUGUCUCUCUUUCCGCUGUACUGUUGACAGAUAUCCAUGGGCACACACAUCAGAGGAGUGAAAGGAAUCCCAUGGAGAAGGCUGGAUGGCAAGAGGUUCUCUUGAGCCCCUGGAAGUUCUGCACAAAAAUUCCCAAACAGGCUCGGAUUUCUCCAGGAGAAUAUUUUCUUCCAUUAAUUUUUGCAGCAAAUAAGGAAAUUAAAGGACAUGGAAGUACUUGGUAGAAGACACAUAGCUAUGGUGCCAGGAAUUCAUGGCGGGGACAGAGAUUGGAGAGUUGUGUGGGAAGAAGUUGCCAGUCUGGCUGCUGAGCCUGGGUCCCCUGCAAGUGGCAGCUGAGGUACAGACCCCUCUCCAGCAGUGCCGUGGCAGCACAUCCAUGAGCCUGGAUCCCCUGCAAGUGGCAGCUGAGGUACAGACCCCUCUCCAGCAGUGCCGUGGCAGCACAUCCAUGAGCCUGGCUGCCGAGGAAGGCUGUGGGAGGAAACACCUGCUCACCCCUUGGAGCUGUGGCUCAGGCCAAGCCCCAUGGAACUGUCAAUGGCUUUGCAAUGCAUUUGGUUGAUGCUGCAUAAUCACAAAUAUUGCUGCUGUCUGGGCUGGAUUUAAUUUGGGGAGGAUUCAAAGAAAGUACCUUGGGAAGGAUUGUAUGAGGAGAAGACACAUAAACCUUUCUUCCUGACUCAACUUUGUUAUUUUCACAAAUGUGGAACACAUUUGGUCUGGCAUCCCAUUGAUUUGUUUACUGCUUUUGUGUCCCACAUUUGCUGAGACUUUCCAAACAUAGAUAUCUCUCUCAUCUGGCCUGGCUCUGACUACUGCACUGAGAACCCAGCAUAAGAGGUGGAGUACAUGUCCAGGGCAUUUGGGUGGGCAUGAAAUUGAACACAGUGAACUUUUGAAAUAACCUAGGCUGUACUUUCAGGUUUGCCCAUGGCUCAGGUGUAAAAAUUAUUUGGUUUUUUAGGAAAUUAUGCUAGAGUAUCAGCUAUAAGCCCUUACCUUGGGUGCACGCAGCUCUCUGUUUAUGUGCUUUGCCCCUGGAUGUGGAAUGUUACAGCACUGUUAUGAAUCAUUUUGUCCAUGGAAACUUUGGAAACAAUGAAGCAUGGCAUGCUUUCAAACAUUACUUUUGUUAUAAAAAUCAGUGGCUCCUACAGUGACCUGAAACUAGUCAGGUAGGAUUUAAAUGAGCAAAGAAUUUCACAGAUGGCUGACUUGUUACUCCAUUGUAGCACGUGUAUAUAGUUCUUUGUUUCAAAAAACAUUUUCCCCUUUUGUUUUAGACAAGACUAUUAGUAGUUUUUCAUACAACUAUGAUUCCUAGUUUAGGUAGGAUGUAUUUCAGUCAAAUAAAACUGAAAGAAAGAAGAAAGCCAUCUUCUCAUCUCAGCCAUUUUGCAGAGAGAACCCUCUCCCUGACUUUUCCUUCUAACCACCAUCUCAGCUGUACUAAAGAGGGCAAGAGAUCCUCUUCAAACAUGCUGAGGAGUUAAGUAUGUAUUAGCUCCACUGUCCUGACACCUGACAUGAUCUGCCAGACCAGCUGGGAGAUCUAAAGAGGGUUUCUUUUCUGCAUAUACUUUGAGGCCUAGUGUGUAGACCCUGUUACACUGCAGUCUUUCAGAAGUGCACUGACUUCUUUGAAACGCCUCUGCAUGGCCCAGAAGAAGACACUUUUGCCAGAAGCAGUCUCCUAGCAUGCAUCAUUCUUGGCAGUAUCCGCAAAUAAACUUCUUGUAAUUGAUUUAAUAAUUUUCAAAUAAAAAAAUUAUGAUAGCUGUGGACAGC